RNAcentral lists this ribosomal RNA (955 nucleotides) under Gammaproteobacteria bacterium. RNAcentral's name for it is "bacterial LSU rRNA". It matches the Rfam family "Bacterial large subunit ribosomal RNA", at positions 1987 to 2925 of the family's 2925-position model. Lineage: Bacteria; Pseudomonadati; Pseudomonadota; Gammaproteobacteria. The record is from RNAcentral.
CCUGCACGAAUGGCGUAACGAGGGCCACACUGUCUCCACCCGAGACUCAGUGAAAUUGAAAUUGCUGUUAAGAUGCAGUAUACCCGCGGCCAGACGGAAAGACCCCGUGCACCUUUACUACAGCUUUGCAUUGAACUCUGAUCCUACCUGUGUAGGAUAGGUGGGAGACUUUGAAACUUUAACGCUAGUUAGAGUGGAGUCAUCCUUGAAAUACCACCCUGGUAUGGUUGGGGUUCUAACCUUGGUCCGUUAUCCGGAUUGGGGACAAUGCAUGGUGGGUAGUUUGACUGGGGCGGUCUCCUCCCAAAGAGUAACGGAGGAGCGCAAAGGUACCCUCAGCACGGUCGGACAUCGUGCAAUGAGCGCAAAGGUAAAAGGGUGCUUGACUGCGAGACUGACACGUCGAGCAGGUAGGAAACUAGGUCUUAGUGAUCCGGUGGUUCUGAGUGGAAGGACCAUCGCUCAACGGAUAAAAGGUACGCCGGGGAUAACAGGCUGAUACCGCCCAAGAGUUCACAUCGACGGCGGUGUUUGGCACCUCGAUGUCGGCUCAUCACAUCCUGGGGCUGAAGCAGGUCCCAAGGGUAUGGCUGUUCGCCAUUUAAAGUGGUACGCGAGCUGGGUUUAGAACGUCGUGAGACAGUUCGGUCCCUAUCUACCGUGGGCGUUGGAGACUUGAGGGAAGCUGUUCUUAGUACGAGAGGACCGGAAUGGACACACCUCUGGUGUUUCGGUUAUGACGCCAGUCGUAUUGCCGAGUAGCUAUGUGUGGAAAGGAUAACCGCUGAAAGCAUCUAAGCGGGAAGCCCCUCCCAAGAUUAGGUCUCCCUGACAGUUUAACUGUCCUAAAGAUCCCUCGGAGACUACGAGGUUGAUAGGCACGGUGUGGAAGAGUAGUGAUACUUGAAGCUAACGUGUACUAAUUGAUCGUGAGGCUUGACCAUAUAACACCCAA